This 29-nucleotide ribosomal RNA is filed under the name Neoapaloxylon madagascariense. RNAcentral's name for it is "partial 26S ribosomal RNA". RNAcentral also lists the same sequence under 1 other name. The record is from RNAcentral. Lineage: Eukaryota; Viridiplantae; Streptophyta; Magnoliopsida; Fabales; Fabaceae.
GAUGCGACCUCAGCUCAGGCGGGGCUACC